AGCGCCGACACGAAGAGGCUCCGUAGACCCUCCAUCCCCGCCCCCGACUUGAAGUCGGGCUCCUCUGAGUCCACCGUCAGCACGGCCGUGAUGCCCGCCCGCCUCAGGCGGUCCGGCUCCGCCGCGGCCGCCGCUCCGCCCAGAAUCCGGCUUAUAUGCUGAGAAUGAGGAUGGAAGUUUGAGAAGAAGCAGUUUGAGGAAAAUUUGCCUGGAGAGAGUGGAGAACGUCCGCGGAAGCUGACCUGUGGGGUCAGGCGUCCCAGUGCCUGAGGCAUACCUACUGUCAAGAUUGAGGAAGAAACUUCAGCUCUAGGCACCCUGGGACCAGAGAUAACUGAAUGGAGUUGGAGCACCCUCGGUGUGGAGGGACAACUUGGUCAACUGACGCAACAACUCUCCCUGCCUCACUCCCAACCCCUCCCCAACCCCCAACAUUUGCAAACUUACCAUGUCCUGCAGCUAUCCUGAGAAAUGCUGUGCCAGGAACUGAUCUCAGUUUCUUUUUGACUCAAAGAGAAACUGGUAAACAGAGAGUCAGAUGAGCAGAGCAAAGGGGACCACAAAUGUUCCCCGUUGCACAUUGGGGGUUUGCUGGGUUACAUUUAGCAGAACCUGCUUCCCCAUCCGCAAACAAAAUGCAGGGAAUGGCCUAUGUUACAACCUUCCCAACGUUAACAACUUUGGAGCUCUUUUGCUGCCCAAACUUCAUCCAGUGAGUUACAGUGGAGAGAGCUCUGGACAGGUGCACCCAAGUCCUAGACAGAAGUGUUGUUCUGUCAUGUGGUGGUUGUAGGACUUGGCCAAGCCAGUUAAACCCUCUGAACUGCAGUGUCUCCAACCACAAAAGACAAGGCCAAUGAUGCCGCUUCUAACAUUCCCCAGAGGGCUUAAAUUAUCAAAUCUGAAAUCCUAUAAACUUUUGGUCAGUCCACAAAAGAUUUCGAAAUCCUUUAAAAUGCUGUUCCUUGCCCCUCCUCACCACCAAAUAUACUCCACUUGUCAGUGUUUCAUAUUUACAAUCUCACCCGUUCCAGGAAAUAUUUCUUUGCCCACUCCUACCAGUAAUCUACUCAUCCCCAGCCAGGAGAACUGAAAGUAGUGACAGGCCAUUUACAAACAUUCAAAUCAGCAGGAGGAAACUGCCCAAGGAGAAAAACCAAAAACAAAAGCUAGAUUUGGAUGUUCACAGAAGCACUUCCAUUUGGUCCCAAAGUUGAAAUAUUUUUUUAAAUUACAUAAUGAAACCCUCCUUGAUUCUAUCUCCAUUGAUUCGUUCUUGCUUAGCAAUGAGAACACUGCACGGAAUCAGAUGAAGACCUUAGGGUCAAGCUUGCUCUGUGUAGAUAUAGGUACAGAUACCCAAACCAUGUGCUACGCUGGCCAUACAAACAAAAUACUUGGGGCUCAGACAAAAAAAGGAAUUCAUUUUGGCUGGACAAAACUGGGAGAAACUCUCUGAGAAGGUGGCAUUUGAGUUGGGUCUUUCCCAGAGGUGAAGGAGAUGAGGGGAAAGAGGUGGGGGAGAGCCAGGAGGAGGGUGCACCCAGAUCUGAGGACUGACACCCGAGACGGUCUCAUUCUGCAUGCCCAAUGUGGCUAACUAAAGAGAUUAUUUCUUGUCAGACUUCACAAGGCAUCCUGGGACAUGUGUUCGGUCACAUUGGCCAUAUCCAGCCCUAAUGGCAGCCACAUCAAGUUGCAGCCCCUGUGGAGGCCUCAUGGUUCCACAGCCCCCUGUCACAGAGGGUCUCAGAAUCCCGUAGCAGCCUGCCAGGUACUGAGUGGAUAGGCCUCCAUCUCUGCUUAUACCUUUAGGCCAUCAAACCAGUAAGGUUGCCUCCGAUCCAAAACAAUGUUCUAGAGCAGGUUCCUGCAGGAAUGACUGAUAAGCACGUACAGAAAUAAGCAGCUAGGGCGCCUGGGUGGCUCAGUUGGUUAAGCGACUGCCUUCGGCUCAGGUCAUGAUCUUGGAGUCCCGGGAUCGAGUCCCACGUCGGGCUCCCUGCUCAGCAGGGAGUCUGCCUCUCUCUCUGACCCUCCCCCCUCUCAUGCUCUCUAUCUCAUUCUCUCUCUCAAAUAAAUAAAUAAAAUUAAAAAAAGAAAGAAAGAAAGAAAGAAGCAGCUAUAUUCAGCACAGUGUUAUCAGCCAUAGACAGCAUGGCUCUUAACUAUAGCUAGUCAUAUGGUGGGCAUGGUGACUGUAGUUAAUAACACUGUACUGCAUACUUAGAAGUCGCUAAGAGAGUAGAUCUUAAAAGUUCUCAUCACAAGAAAAAAAUUCUGUGACUAUGUGUGGUGAUGGGUGUUAAGCAGACUUACUGAGGUGAUCAUGUCACGAUACAUAUAAAUAUUGAGUCAUUCCAUUGUAUUCCUGAAGCUGUACGUUGGAUGUCAAUUAUACCUCAAUUUAAAACCAGCAGCAGCGUCCACCAGGGGCCAGCAUGAGCUUACCAAGAUCAGUCUUGCUCGGAUAGUCUGUUCUUUUCCUGACAGAAUGACUACGUAGGCAGAUGAAGGAGACUGCUCACACACCAGAUCUGUACUUCUCUGGGCUGUGGGAUACAUCUCCUGUGGACAAGGGCAGAAAUAUAGGCUGGAUAUCAGAACAAUUGAGUCAUGAGUUGAGGUUGGUAGUUGGUUAAACGAUUGUACCAGAAGGAACAGAAAUGGAUCAAGGAGAGAGAUUUCUAGGGAGAGAGAGCCCUCACGUAAAUUUCUUUCAUCUGUUUUAUACAACUUUUUGUUGUUGUGGAUUGAUUUGGGUUAGGGUACUGAAGACCGGCUUACCUAAUCUGCAUGUGUUACAGCCGAGAGGAACUACAGUGGGAUCCAAAAUGAUCUUAGGAAGCUAACAAAGACAAAGUUCAAAAGAGAUAAGGUUCUGCACUUCGGUCCCCCAAAUGAAUCACAGAAAUAUAAAUUGGGGGGCAAAGAAGUACACCUUAGAUGGAAAGAAUCCUACAGGUGAGUUUGCAGACAGUAAGCUUAAUGAGGCUGGGCGAAAUCACUGGAGCCCUGGAAAAGCUGUUGUCCUUCUCCACCCCCGUGUCUGUUUCUACCCCUCCACUAACAAGUCCUUUAGUCUCUGGGUCUCCAUUCGGGUUUCUAGAAUCAACAAGUUGGACUAAAUCUCCAGGUCCCUGACAGCAGUAAAUUUGAAGACCCAGCCCUUUACCUUCUCUGGAAUUGGGGUCAGCGUUCACUCCACUACCUUCUCGAGUGCCUUUCUGAGCUGCAGAACCUGGAAAGUUGGAAGGGACGAAGACUCCCUUGCCACGCGGUGUGGGGCCCAGCUGAGGUCUGGCCACUCGGAAGCCUUUGGAUAACAUACAGAAGGUGAAAGUGAAGAAGAGGCUGUACUUCGGUCGCUUCUGUUCCUUCUGGAAACAGGGUGCAGAGGGUUUGGGGUUUUCCAUAGCAGCCGUGGCAGAGAUUCCAGCGUCCAGGAUCUAGCUCAGCGGUGCUCAGAGGCAGGGCCCUGAGCAUCCAUUUCUUGGACUAGAGCAGACCAGGUUCCCUCCUGGUGCCCCCGAAAUCAUUGCUUCUUUCUUAUCUUAUCAUGGCUAUUUCUCUGA
Molecule: long non-coding RNA, 3575 nt
Organism: Mirounga angustirostris (Northern elephant seal)
Lineage: Eukaryota; Metazoa; Chordata; Mammalia; Carnivora; Phocidae
Exons: 3
Source: RefSeq, a predicted model, not a curated record